UAGUUCAGCACUAAGUCACUUUGUCUUAAUGGCAAAUGUGAGAUGCAGUGUAUGGAAUGUCAAAUUUCUAGUAUGAGAAAUUAACGAUUUAAGUCCUUCUUAAAUGAGGCCAUUUACCCAAAGAGGGUGCCAGGCCCGUAUAACGUUAAUGAUUACUAGAUGGCAUUUCCAAAGAGUCGUGUUGCUUGAUAGUGCAGCACUAAGUGGGUGGUAAACUCCAUCUAAAACUAAAUAUAACCAUGAGACCGAUAGUAAACAAGUACCGUGAGGGAAAGUUGAAAAGAACUCUGAAUAGAGAGUUAAAUAGUACGUGAAACUGCUUAGAGGUUAAGCCCGAUGAACCUGAAUAUCCAUUAUAGAAAAUUCAUCAUUAUGAUUUUAAUAUUUAUAAUAUUAUAAUAAUGGUGUGCAUUUUUUCUAUAAAAGGACAUUGUAAUCUAUUAACAUCAAAUAUUUAUCAAAAGAUCAAUUGCAAAAGUUUAUUCAAAUUAUUUUGCUUGCAAUUUAACAUAGAAUAAAUGCUUUUGAUUUGAUAAAGUGUUGAUAGAUUUAUUAUAUAUAGUGCUUGAAUAUUUAUAUUCUAUAAUAGCAUAUUAAUCAUUGAUUUUUAUGUUUAUUAUAUGCACUUAUAUGAUUAACAAUGCGAAAGAUUCAGGAUACCUUCGGGACCCGUCUUGAAACACGGACCAAGGAGUCUAACAUAUUUGCAAGUUAUUGGGAAUAAAAACCUAAUAGCGAAAUUAACAUAACUUAUUUAAUGGGAUUAAUUUUUAGCCUAUUUAUAGUCUAUUAAUUCAAUCCCGGGGCGUUCUAUACAGUUAUGUAUAAUAAUAUUUAUAUUAUUUAUACCUCUAACUAGAGCGUACCUUGAGCAUAUAUGCUGUGACCCGAAAGAUGGUGAACUAUACUUGAUCAGGUUGAAGUCAGGGGAAACCCUGAUGGAAGACCGAAACAGUUCUGAC
This 962-nucleotide ribosomal RNA is filed under the name Cochliomyia macellaria (secondary screw-worm). RNAcentral's name for it is "eukaryotic LSU rRNA". It matches the Rfam family "Eukaryotic large subunit ribosomal RNA", at positions 104 to 890 of the family's 3401-position model. The record is from RNAcentral. Lineage: Eukaryota; Metazoa; Arthropoda; Insecta; Diptera; Calliphoridae.